AGCCCUGGCAUGUGUAUUUGAACUGCAUUUCUGGCAUGCAAGUAUGGUCACUGUUGUCAAGGUCCAUUAAUGUGUGUGUGGGGGGGGAACAAUAUUUGUUGAUGGAUAUGUUAAUCAGCUUUUCAUCAAUUUGAACAAAGUAUCUGACAAGAACAACUUACAGGAGGAAAGAUUUAUUUUGGCUCAUUUAUUUCAGAGGCUUAAGUCCAUGUUCAAUGAGCUCCAUUGCUCUGGGCCUGAGACAAGGCAGAAUGUUAUGGUGGAAGGGCAUGGUGGAGGAAAGCUGCUCAGCUCAUGGCAGCCAGGAAGCAGAGCAGAGUAGGGGAAGAGGAGGCCAGGGAGAAGAUCCCUAAAAUCCUUUUCUUAUGAGGAAGCAAAGUCCAUUAGUACAUCUACUACUAUGUUCCCAGCACGUGGCUUAGGCCUAAGAAUGGUAAUACACAUGCAAUAAAUAUUGUUAAAUGUGUGAAUAUACCAGACUGUGUCCUAACUGUGGUGGGUGAACCAAACAUGAAAUGGAUACAGAUCACAUGUUGGAGGAAUUCACCCUCCAAUAGAGGAGAUCUGACUGAAACAUAAACAUUUAAGGCAAUUAACAUCACAGGAAACACUAUCAGUCCUGAGGAAGGGACAUGUCUUAUAGCAUGUGAAUCACAAGAGACUCUGUUGACAGAUAACAUUGUACUGGGUGCUGAAUGGAGGGAAAGCCUAUACAAAGGCACUCUAAGGAAGCAUAGGGCAGAUGUGGACAAAGUGGGUGGAUCGAUUGAACUGGAACAUGGAGUACAUCAAGACUAAAACAAAAAGAUUGGAAAGCAGAGGUAGCACUAGAUUGUCAAAGAGUUCAUUGGCCAGGCUAAGAAUUCUGGACCCUGUUCUAGAGGCAGUGUUGGGUAAUGACUAGCCUUUUAAAACCUUUUAAAAAUAUUUUCAAAUACACAAUAAAAGUUGAAAUAAUAGUACAAUAAACAUUCAUAUAUUUGCCACCUAGAUUUAACAACAUUUUACCAUGUUGGCACGUUUGUUAUCUAGAGCAGCAUAUUUGUUAGCAUUGAUGAAUCUACAUGUUGCUUGAUCCAUAGAUAGAGGGGUGUGUGUGUGUGUGUGUGUGUGUGUGUACAUGUAUAUGCAUUUUAAAUAUAUGUAUGUACUCAUAUACAUAUAUAUGUAUAUAUACUUUUAAAAUAUAUACAUAUUACUAGUUUUGGGUGACUUCCUUUUUCUUUUUUUUGUUAAAUCGUUUCAAAGGAAAUUGCAGACAAUAUAAUUCUUCACUCCUAAAUAUUUAGCAAAUUUUUCCAAAUUUUUGAUGUUUGCUUUCCUAUCUACUGUACCAUUAUGCUGAGCAAAUGUAAGAACUGCCUAGCAACAUCUAUUACAAAUAUAUUUUCAAAUUUUCCCAUGUCCCAUCAGGAUCAGAAAGGUAAUUUUUUGCAGAACCAGAAUCCAAUGAAGCAUUUGAUGGUGUUCUUGUUUUGUAAUUCAGAACAAUGACCCCUGACUCUUUUGUUUGAUAUUGAUUAUCCAUAGUCUUUAUGUCUUAUCUUCUAUAAAACAGUUGUCUUAUAGAAUGCUUUACAUUCUUGAUUUAACUGAUUGUCUCCUUGGGGGUAUGUCUAACUGGUUUUUCAAUCCCUGUAAAUUGGAGGUUAGAUCUAAAGGUCUGAUUAGAUUCAACUUCAACAUUUCUGGCAAGGAAACUUCAUUAAUUUGUGAUGUAUAUUUCAUGCUGGAGCAUACCAGGGACCUCCUAAAACUGUUGGUGUGUUAGUGAUGCUAAAUUGGAUACCUGGUUUAAGGAGGGGACAGCCCAAUCCACCUGAUAUAAAAGUAUGUGUUUCUUCUUUGUGAUCACUAAGUGACCUGAGGGAUGCUUGGCAACAUAACUCAUAUUUUUGUAAUUGUUUGCAAUUUAUCAACCCAUUCAAGUGCAUUUAAUCACAAUAGCAUCCCUCUCAGGUUUCAUUUCUUUUAGAAGUAAAAAUUUAGCCUUGGAAUGCUUAAAUGAUUCUUCCAAGGUCUUAGAGUUAAUAAAUAGCAAAGAAAGGACUCAAAAAUAAAUAAGUUAACUUUAGUUCACUUAAAAACUUAAUCUCUGGGACUAGGGGUAUAGCUCAAUUGGUACAGUGCUUGCCUUGCAUGCACCACAAAACCCCAGCACAAAAAAUCAUCAUCGUCAUCAUCAUCAUCAUCAUCAUAAUCUCCAAUAGUCUAUGCUGAAUAUUUUUAGAGCAUUAUUUCUCCAUACUUCAAUAAGUAUUUCUCUCCUUUUGAAGCCAUUUUCUAAAAAAGGAAGUUUUUCUUUACUUUCUUGAAAUUUGUUUUUACAGGCUCUCAAAGCUAUUUCUAUUGCCCACUCAACUGGCAAAGUGUAACAGGUGCUGGAUUCCCCAAAAUAUCACACUUUUGACAACAUUCGUAACAAUAGUUCAGAAUAUUUAAAUGAUACACUAGUUGCUUAAUUUGUAUUUUUGUAACCUGUAAACAAAGUCAAUUGAUCAAAAGUAACGAAUUUCUGUCUAAAGUUAAGCACAUACAUGCGUAUUUGUGAUGCUAACACCAAGGAUCUUUAGGCCUGAAAGAGACAUAAAGUUAGAUCCUGCAAAUCUAUUUGCCCCCAAAGCUAGGUCAGCAACUCGUGGGGGCAGAGUUAAUAGAGGCAUGUGACAGUCUCGAAUCAAAUGAUAAGGAGUGUGGUGCGAUGCUAAGCGAACCAGGGAAGGAAAUUAAAGGGAUCCUGGAUCCAACAGGGGCCUGUGGAAAUUAUUUCUGCUCCCCCACCCCCACCCCGAAGCUGGGUUUCCAGCUCUGAGAGCGAAGCGGGCCCUUUAGGAGGACUAAGGAGGGGCCUGAUCGCCAAGAGUCGCUAUCUGUUGGAUCACCUCUUCCUAAGAAGACAUUAUGGAGGACUUAAUUCAUAAAGAAGAAAUUCGACAUCGCGCCCACAUCAAACAACAAGAGGAACCAACUAGCUGUCGUCUCCACCAACUUCCCUAAAGCUGGAAGCAGGCAGGCACGCCCCCAAAUCACUCUUCCCGGAUUUUAUUGGUUGUCCCAGUCUGCCCCUCUCUCAUGAAAAUCUCUUUCAUUGGUCAGUAUUCCCAAGCUCCUGCUUUCACAGACAAUUCCCGGAACCAAUCAUCUCCACGAAUCGCCCCGCCUCUCCGUCGACACGUGAGUGACAUAGACACUAACCAAUAAGAAAUGAAAAAAAAGAAUGUGACGAAAGGCUCCUCCUCCCAGGCUCAAGCGAUCAGUAAAUGGUAGAAAGGGUUGAGCGGCUGAUACCAACCACCAAUCCGUAAGAGCGGAAGAGGACGAUGAGAAGAGUGAUGGGAGGUGGUGACGUGGCGGUGACAGAAGCAUAAACUGAAAUGAGCGGCGGAAACACUAGCCAAUCGGCAACCAAACUGGCCGGCACUCUGCAUUCCCCCGUCCUCCCAGAGCGCUAGAGACUUCAGAAAAGCGCCAAUGAGGUUGUACAUGCAUCUGAUUGGCCUUCAUCUGAGCCAAUCAAAGGCGGAGCGUGUGGACGCGUCCCACCCUGGGCUCUCACUGGGCGGAGUAGAAUGACAGGCCCGAGAGAAAUGCCAAUGUCCGCGGGGUCUUCCACAAGUGACACUCCGCGGCACCAAUCGACGUCCUCCACCCCGGUCACCGAGCCCUCCUUCCUCCGGCGGGCCUGGCGGGGCGGGGACGCUGCGCGGCGGCGGCUGAUGCGCUAGCCGUGUGGGGCGCUCGGGGCGGCGGCGGCGGCGGCGGCGGCGGCUCUCGUAGGAGGUUCCGGUCCUGUAUCUCUGGGCGGCGGCGGCUCAUGGCGACGACCGAGCUGAGAGGAGUGGUGGGGCCGGGCCCGGCAGCCAUUGCAGCUCCUGGCGGCGGCGGCGCAGGUCCCCCAGUGGUGGGAGGAGGCGGCGGCCGCGGAGACGCGGGGCCCGGCUCCGGGGUCGCGUCAGGGACGGUGGCCACGGCAGCUGCGGGCGGCCAGGGCCCGGGGGCCGGGGGAGUGGCGACGGCUGGCCCAACCCCUGCGCCGCCGGCUGGGGGCUCGGGCGGCUCGGGCGCUGGGGGUUCGGGCUCGGCUCGAGAGGGCUGGCUCUUCAAAUGGACCAAUUAUAUCAAAGGCUACCAGCGGCGGUGGUUCGUGCUGAGCAACGGGCUUUUGAGCUACUACAGGUAACUGCUUCCGGGGCGCCGACACUCACCUUGCCUCCCCCACCGUAGCCCACAGCCCUGGCGCCCGGCGCCCUCACCAGCAGGCACGGCAGCCAAGGUCGCCCCAGGCCCUUUUCUGUCACUUGCGCAAAUUGACAGCCGGUGACAGAAGUCCACUUCCACGAAAUUGAAAGCCCCAGGACUUGUACCCGCACCCGUCCCCUGUUACCCCCCGUUGGUGCCAUAUCUCUCCUUCCCUGGCCUUUCCAUCAUUAAUUGGAGAGCAUCUGUUCUUCCAUUGUGUUUCCACCACCACAUGGGUGGGAUUAUUAAUUGUCCCAGCAAGGCACUGUUGUAGGCGCUAAGGGACACAUAGAAGAGCAAAGCCUAAGCACUGCUCUCAAAGAACUUAAUAGUGAAAGUCCCAAAGUCUUAGUUAUUUAUGCUCAGUCUCUAAAAUUCAAGGUUAUUCGUAGCCCUUGAUGUACCCGACCUUAAUCUCUCCACAGUCAGGCACCAAGACACCAUACACAAGGUGUCCUCAGGAUUCUGCCCCUUGCCUUUCUUAUCUCUCCAAGACUUAUGCAUACUUUCACCUUCUGGACAGCCCAGACUGGAGAUGUGCCCUCUUGCUUUGCUCUUAUUUUUGUUUGCCCCACCCCCUCCCGUGGAAAUGUUUGUUGUAUCCAACACUUCUGUGAUCUUUUUGGUUAGUUAGAAUUAUGUUUUAUUAAAAUAAGAAUCCAUGUCUUUGGUAUGGUUAUUUCUGUUCAACAUUGUUUAUUUUGGAGUAGUUAAUAUAUACUUAUCCUCAGUGACUCAGAACGUGGUCAUAACAUGCUAUUGGGCUUCUCCUAUUACUAUGUAUAAAGGUGUUGAUUUGGGGACAGGAUACAAAUAUUCCCCAAAGGCUGGACAUUGAGGCUGGGUGUUUUAGGUAUAGUAUUUGAUUGACUCCCAGCAAAAACCUGUGGGAGUUAUACAAUAUUCCCAUCUUUCUAAUGAGAAAACUGAGAUUCAGCAUGGGCAACUUUCCCAAGGUCUUGGAGGAGUCAGGAUUUGAAACUAAUUCUGUUCGCACCAACAUAACCUAAAACCCAGGUUAGUGUUACACAAAUCAGUCAGAUACAGAGGUAAAUUACUUAUCUAAAGCAAGUAAGUAUGGAUUAUGGUUACUGUAUAUACUUUAUACAAAAAGUGUGUUUUACAGGAGACUUUGCUCAAUAAACUGGCAUUUCUCAGUGAACAUUUUCCUAAAGACCAUUCUGUUUGGGACCCAAAACACUGCUGUUGAAGAGUGACUCACUUUGUGUUCCUUUUCCUUGACUGUAAUCAUUCUGCUACCAGGAGAGUUAGGUUGAACAAAUCUGUUUUCCAUCAACUCCACUACAUUGGCUUUUAGAGAAUUUCUUUUUUUUUUUUUAACCAUACAAUUUAUUUUUGAGAAUUUCAAGAAGAGAUUAAAGGUGGGAGCUGGAGGUUGUUGGUGAGAACACAUCUUUUUUUCGUAUCAGGAUUGAACCCACAGGUGCUUAACCACUGAGCAACAUCCCCAGCCCUUUUUAUUUUUUAGUUAGAGACGGGGUCACACUAAGUUGCUUAGGGCCUCGCUAAGUUGCUGAGGCUGGCUUUGAACUCACAGCCCUCCUGCCUUAGUCUCCUGACUUGCUGGGAUUAUAGGUAUGUGCCACCAUGCCCAGCCAGAACACAUUCUUAUCUGUAAGAUGCCUCCUAUAACUCCUCCUCACUGCUUAAACAUUAAUUGUGAAGUUGUAUAUAUCAUCUACAUUAUUGUAUUUAGAAUUGAUCUUAAUAUAACCAUUACUAACUUCUCAUCUAGGAUAAUCAGUUUAGUCUAAAAUUUUACUCUGCCCCAGUUUUUUCCCCUACUCAAGUUCAUGUUUUCUGGUUACUGUGACUGUUACUCUAAUGUUCAAUGUUCCUGACUUGAUUCAUCAAACACUAUUAAUACUGAUUGCCCAUUUAAAAAAAUUGUACAUCAGGUAAGGGCCUUAACAUGUGGUCUUUCCUUUCCUUUUCAUCCAAGUUAUGUUAUCUGCUUUCCAGGUCACUGGAUCCUUUGUUCAGUACCAGUCUUGAUCAGUGUUGAUCACUAUCUUUUCAAGUAUUUGUAACUACUUUUAACAUUUCUCCUAUGAUAGCUAGUGGUACCUGCCUAAUUGCAAAUAAAACUUCUCUUAAGACAUAUUCAUUCACUUAUUGAGAAACAUGUGAUUGGCCUGUCCUUAACAGCUAGUAUGUUCCCCACCCAUAAACCAAUGAAGCAUCAGGAUCUAGAUUAUCAAAUCUCUUCAGUACCCUCAAACUUGCUGUGAAGUACUUCUUUCCAACUAUUGGCUAUUUAUUCUUCACAACAGGGUACUUCUGGUCCCCGUCUCCCUUUGGAUUAUUUAGCCAAAUUGUCGUUCCUCCUGUUUUCAUGCCUCUUAAACCUGCAAUUUCUUGUGUAUCCUCUUUGCAAAAUAUUAUUUCCCUUUUAAAUGAAAUUAUGUGCUUCCUAGACCCAUCACUUUUUACCUAUCCUGUGCUUCCUUCCAUACCUGGUUACAUAGAUGAUCCAUUACUUAAAACCUUAUAUAGAAUCCAGGCUCUCCCAGAAGCAUCAUGACAGGCUAUACUGUUAAUUUUCAUGACUAGCUCUAAGAGAUUAAAUUACUAUUUCAGCUGACCUUUUAAGGCAGAGGUUUCUAGCCAGAAAAUACCACCCAGUACUUUAGUGUCUUAAAAACUUUUCUUUUUUUUUUUAAUAUUUAUUUUUUAGUUUUAGGUGGACACAAUAUCUUUAUUUUUUUAUUUUUAUGUGGUGUUAAGGAUCGAAUCCAGCGCCCCACACAUGCCAGGCAAGCAUGCUACCGCUUGAGCUACAUCCCCAGCCUUAAAAACUUUUCUUGCAAGAGAAAAGAAUCUUUCUAGAUUCUCACUAGUCAUUUAUAACCAUAGGUGUAUCUACCUAAACUUCAAGAGCUUUGAGGUCAAGCUUGCCUUAUUUCCAGGGUUCCUUGCAAUCUCUUAAGUUGUUGUAUACUUUAUGCUGUUUGAGAAACUUCUUUAGUGUGUGAAGAUGACCCAUGCAGAAAGAGAUUCCUAGGAAGUAGUUAGUGAAAAGUGCCAAUAAGGAGGAAUGUGAUAGAAGGUCCAAGUGGCACCCUUGGAAGAGAAAGCAAGGGUGAGCCAGCCUGUCAGCUGUGUGUCUGUAAUUCGGUCUGCAUUAUUCAUAAUGUAACUGAAGCUUGGGGGUGGGGAGGUAAGAAUAGAAAACACAGGGAUUCACAUUACAGUGUGGCAGGUGCAGAGGAUGGAAAAUGGCCCAGUCCAUUGAGACCCCCCUGGCGAUCCCAUACAGCUCAGUUGUGCAUUGGAGGAGAAAAAAAAAAAAAAUGUUUCAUGUGACAAACCAAAUGACAGCAAAUCUGUCUUCCUAAGCAUAGUAAACACACUUUUUCCAACAUACCAAAUCUUAGUUUCUGGAGAAUGGGGCGUAUGCCACCUCUGGCAUGCAGGAAUUCUGGAUGUGCCAGGUAUGUUUGGCCACUUGGCUUCACUGAAGAGGAAAUGAUUCUGCUUUGUACUGUGGCAUUUGGCAAAGGACUUUGACCUCUUUAUGUUCCCGGUUGGACAGGGAAAAAACUGCAUGCAGUCUGAACAUGCAGGUCCCUAGGCAUAACCAGCAUGGUGAAGAAAUUAGCACAGUUUUCUCUGUAUACACAAUUGUGCUAGAAGCUUGUUAUUUUAUGUGAAGUGCCUUGUGGCUUGUUGUCACCAAGUAGUGCUGUAAAGUUCAAAAGUUAGCCUAUUAAUAGAACUGUCAGUCAGUAGAGACUGGGAAAAUUUUUACACCCAGUCCUCAGUGCAGAUCUGCUGAAUCUUUCCUAGCUAUUAAUAGGAUGGCUUAGGAGUUCCUACCAAUAGAAGUCUGUGGACCUUAGAAAAGAACAUAUUCCAAAAAGAUUAAAAUGUCUUGUGAUUCUUUAAUAACUCUUUCUUUGCUCUCUCAGAUGGGCAAUUGUUCUUAUUUCAUAUCAUUUGAGCUAUAGCCAGCAUUUAAUCAUUGAAACAUUUAAAGAUGCCUUUUUACACUUCUGCAGUAUAAUUCUAAGCAUGGUAUGACAGUUCUGAUUUGGGCUGAUUUACAGUGAGGGGGAUGGUUCAGUUUAUAGAAGACAGAACUAUUCUUAGGGAAUGAGAUUGUCAUACAAAAUUUUGUUGCAAGGGAUAUAAACCUUUAUAACUUGCUAAGUAGAAAGUAACUCCUGACUGUGGAAGGGCAGGAGGGAAUUUUUUGAGGUGAGGGAAGUGUUCUACAUUUUGAUUGUGAUGGUCAUACAGUUGUAUACACUUGUCAAAACUCACUCAGUUGUACACUUGAGACUACUGAAUUACUAUUGCAAAUAGUUAUACCUCAAUAAUAUCUAUUUUUAAAAGGUUAACAGCAAGAGGAACAGUGGAAGAAUAAAAUUUGUUUAAGAAACAAUUCUUAAAGGCUCUGAAAUAAAUUCUCAAUAUAUUGUUUCUUGAAUUUUAGGGGGGUUGUUUGCAGGAACUAUAAUUAGAUUUCUAAGAUUACCAUAUUUUCAAGGACUCAGAAUUAUGUAAAGAAAUGAAAUGUGUUAAAGGAUAAUCCACCCAUUACCUUUUUCUUGAGCUUGUUUUUGUCUCACUUUUGCAGGUCAAAGGCAGAAAUGAGACAUACCUGCCGUGGUACCAUUAACCUCGCCACAGCCAACAUCACUGUGGAGGACUCCUGCAACUUUAUCAUUUCCAAUGGGGGCGCUCAGACCUACCAUCUGAAGGCUAGCUCAGAAGUGGAGCGACAGCGCUGGGUGACAGCUCUAGAACUGGCAAAAGCCAAGGCUGUGAAGAUGCUAGCAGAAUCAGGUAGGAAGCAAAGAAGACCUUGCCUGGAAAGCUUUCCAUAUGUCC
RNAcentral lists this long non-coding RNA (9096 nucleotides) under Marmota monax (woodchuck). The record is from RNAcentral. Lineage: Eukaryota; Metazoa; Chordata; Mammalia; Rodentia; Sciuridae.